Molecule: ribosomal RNA, 29 nt
Filed under: Mortierella alpina
Lineage: Eukaryota; Fungi; Mortierellomycota; Mortierellomycetes; Mortierellales; Mortierellaceae
Description: partial 18S ribosomal RNA
Source: RNAcentral
CGUAGGUGAACCUGCGGAAGGAUCAUUCA